RNAcentral lists this ribosomal RNA (767 nucleotides) under uncultured bacterium. RNAcentral describes it as "bacterial SSU rRNA". It matches the Rfam family "Bacterial small subunit ribosomal RNA", at positions 9 to 791 of the family's 1533-position model. The record is from RNAcentral.
GAGUUUGAUCCUGGCUCAGGACGAACGCUGGCGGCGUGCUUACACAUGCAAGUCGAGCGGAAAGGCCACUUCGGUGGUACUCGAGCGGCGAACGGGUGAGUAACACGUGAGUAAUCUGCCUCUGGCUUCGGGAUAGCCACCGGAAACGGUGAUUAAUACCGGAUAUGACAUCUUCACGCAUGUGAUGGGUGUGGAAAGUUUUUUCGGCCAGGGAUGUGCUCGCGGCCUAUCAGCUUGUUGGUGGGGUAAUGGCCUACCAAGGCUUCGACGGGUAGCCGGCCUGAGAGGGUGACCGGCCACACUGGGACUGAGACACGGCCCAGACUCCUACGGGAGGCAGCAGUGGGGAAUAUUGGACAAUGGGCGGAAGCCUGAUCCAGCAACGCCGCGUGAGGGAUGACGGCCUUCGGGUUGUAAACCUCUUUCAGCACGGACGAAGCGCAAGUGACGGUAUGUGCAGAAGAAGGACCGGCCAACUACGUGCCAGCAGCCGCGGUAAUACGUAGGGUCCGAGCGUUGUCCGGAAUUAUUGGGCGUAAAGGGCUCGUAGGCGGUUUGUCGCGUCGGGAGUGAAAACACCGGGCUUAACUCGGUGCUUGCUUUCGAUACGGGCAGACUAGAGGCAUUCAGGGGAGAACGGAAUUCCUGGUGUAGCGGUGAAAUGCGCAGAUAUCAGGAGGAACACCGGUGGCGAAGGCGGUUCUCUGGGAAUGUCCUGACGCUGAGGAGCGAAAGUGUGGGGAGCGAACAGGAUUAGAUACCCUGGU